GGACAAGGUUCGUGGCGGUUAGGACAAGGUUGCUGGCGGUGAGGACAUUGUCCUCGCCGCCAGCAACCUUGUCCUCACCGCCAGCAACC
This 89-nucleotide microRNA precursor is filed under the name Paramuricea clavata. The record is from RNAcentral. Lineage: Eukaryota; Metazoa; Cnidaria; Anthozoa; Malacalcyonacea; Plexauridae.